Molecule: ribosomal RNA, 259 nt
Filed under: uncultured bacterium
Lineage: Bacteria
Description: partial small subunit ribosomal RNA
Rfam family: Bacterial small subunit ribosomal RNA
Source: RNAcentral
AGAAUCAACGCUGGCGGCGUGCCUAACACAUGCAAGUCGAACGAGAAAGUGGAGCAAUCCAUGAGUAAAGUGGCGACCGGGUGAGUAACACGUGACUAACCUACCUUCAAGUGGGGGAUAACCUCGGGAAACCGGGGCUAAUACCGCAUAACAUCUUUGGAGUGGAAAUUCUGGAGAUCAAAGGAGCAAUUCGCUGGAAGAGGGGGUCGCGGCUGAUUAGCUAGUUGGCGGGUAAUGGCCCACAAGGCUUUGAUCGGUA